Molecule: ribosomal RNA, 435 nt
Filed under: uncultured bacterium
Lineage: Bacteria
Description: partial 16S ribosomal RNA
Rfam family: Bacterial small subunit ribosomal RNA
Source: RNAcentral
AGCGAACGCUGGCGGCAGGCUUAACACAUGCGAGUCGAGCGGGCACUUUCGGGUGUCAGCGGCGGACGGGUGAGUAACGCGUGGGAACGUGCCCUCUGGUUCGGAAUAACUCAGGGAAACUUGAGCUAAUACCGGAUACGCCCUUUUGGGGAAAGGCUUGCUGCCGGAGGAUCGGCCCGCGUCUGAUUAGCUAGUUGGUGAGGUAACGGCUCACCAAGGCGACGAUCAGUAGCUGGUCUGAGAGGAUGAUCAGCCACACUGGGACUGAGACACGGCCCAGACUCCUACGGGAGGCAGCAGUGGGGAAUAUUGGACAAUGGGCGCAAGCCUGAUCCAGCCAUGCCGCGUGAGUGAUGAAGGCCUUAGGGUUGUAAAGCUCUUUUAUCCGGGACGAUAAUGACGGUACCGGAGGAAUAAGCCCAGGCUAACUUCGUG